Molecule: ribosomal RNA, 496 nt
Filed under: uncultured bacterium
Lineage: Bacteria
Description: partial 16S ribosomal RNA
Rfam family: Bacterial small subunit ribosomal RNA
Source: RNAcentral
GACGAACGCUGGCGGCGUGCCUAAUACAUGCAAGUUGAGCGCUGAAGGUUGGUACUUGUACCAACUGGAUGAGCAGCGAACGGGUGAGUAACGCGUGGGGAAUCUGCCUUUGAGCGGGGGACAACAUUUGGAAACGAAUGCUAAUACCGCAUAAAAACUUUAAACACAAGUUUUAAGUUUGAAAGAUGCAAUUGCAUCACUCAAAGAUGAUCCCGCGUUGUAUUAGCUAGUUGGUGAGGUAAAGGCUCACCAAGGCGAUGAUACAUAGCCGACCUGAGAGGGUGAUUGGCCACAUUGGGACUGAGACACGGCCCAAACUCCUACGGGAGGCAGCAGUAGGGAAUCUUCGGAAAUGGACGAAAGUCUGACCGAGCAACGCCGCGGGGGUGAAGAAGGUUUUCGGAUCGUAAAACUUUGUUGGUAGAGAAGAACGUUGGUGAGAGUGGAAAGCUCAUCAAGUGACGGUAACUACCCAGAAAGGGACGGCUAACUACGU